GACGAACUGUCCUACCGUUGUUCGGAAUCACUGGGCUUAAAGGGCGCGUAGGCGGUCUGACAAGUCAGGGGUGAAAUCCUGCAGCUUAACUGUAGAAGUGCCUUUGAUACUGUCAGUCUUGAGGGAAAUAGGGGUGUGCGGAACUUCCAGUGGAGCGGUGAAAUGCGUUGAUAUUGGAAGGAACGCCGGAGGCGAAAGCGGCGCACUGGAUUUCUUCUGACGCUGAGGCGCGAAAGCUAGGGGAGCAAACAGG
Molecule: ribosomal RNA, 253 nt
Filed under: uncultured bacterium
Lineage: Bacteria
Description: partial 16S ribosomal RNA
Rfam family: Bacterial small subunit ribosomal RNA
Source: RNAcentral